Long non-coding RNA from Carassius gibelio (silver crucian carp), 223 nucleotides. RefSeq lists it as uncharacterized. Lineage: Eukaryota; Metazoa; Chordata; Actinopteri; Cypriniformes; Cyprinidae. The record is from RefSeq and is a predicted model, not a curated record. The transcript is spliced from 3 exons.
CUUAUAGCCUGUACUGAUAAUAUUUUGGCUACAUUAUUAUCAUUAUCAUUUUUUUUUUUUUUGUAGGAAUCUUGCACAAACAAUAGAUCCUGGGAGCUGGACUGAAAAGACUGGGCAUGAUAUUGCGGGAUUGCCACGCCAAAACUUUGGGAAUGACUGCGGGAUUUUCAUUCUUAUGUACACCCUUUGCAUUGUGACAGGUGUAGGGUUUGACUUCCAGGAG